AGUGAACGCUGGCGGCAGGCCUAACACAUGCAAGUCGAGCGGCAGCGCGUCCGACCACCCUCGGGUGGUCGGAUGGCGGCGAGCGGCGGACGGGUGAGGAAUGCAUCGGAAUCUGCCUCGUUGUGGGGGAUAACGUAGGGAAACUUACGCUAAUACCGCAUACGACCUACGGGUGAAAGUGGGGGACCGUUCGGGCCUCACGCGAUGAGAUGAGCCGAUGCCGGAUUAGCUAGUUGGCGGGGUAAAGGCCCGACCAAGGCGACGAUCCGUAGCUGGUCUGAGAGGAUGAUCAGCCACACUGGAACUGAGACACGGUCCAGACUCCUACGGGAGGCAGCAGUGGGGGAAUAUUGGACAAUGGGGGCAACCCUGAUCCAGCCAUUCCGCGUGAGUGAAGAAGGGCCCUGGUUGUAAAGUCGUCUUUCGGUCGACGGAACGGAAA
This 442-nucleotide ribosomal RNA is filed under the name uncultured bacterium. RNAcentral's name for it is "bacterial SSU rRNA". It matches the Rfam family "Bacterial small subunit ribosomal RNA", at positions 30 to 456 of the family's 1533-position model. The record is from RNAcentral.